UGGGGAAUAUUGCACAAUGGGCGCAAGCCUGAUGCAGCCAUGCCGCGUGUAUGAAGAAGGCCUUCGGGUUGUAAAGUACUUUCAGCGGGGAGGAAGGGAGUAAAGUUAAUACCUUUGCUCAUUGACGUUACCCGCAGAAGAAGCACCGGCUAACUCCGUGCCAGCAGCCGCGGUAAUACGGAGGGUGCAAGCGUUAAUCGGAAUUACUGGGCGUAAAGCGCACGCAGGCGGUUUGUUAAGUCAGAUGUGAAAUCCCCGGGCUCAACCUGGGAACUGCAUCUGAUACUGGCAAGCUUGAGUCUCGUAGAGGGGGGUAGAAUUCCAGGUGUAGCGGUGAGAUGCGUAGAGAUCUGGAGGAAUACCGGUGGCGAAGGCGGCCCCCUGGACGAAGACUGACGCUCAGGUGCGAAAGCGUGGGGAGCAAACA
Molecule: ribosomal RNA, 427 nt
Filed under: uncultured bacterium
Lineage: Bacteria
Description: partial 16S ribosomal RNA
Rfam family: Bacterial small subunit ribosomal RNA
Source: RNAcentral